This 638-nucleotide ribosomal RNA is filed under the name Caryophanales bacterium. RNAcentral's name for it is "bacterial SSU rRNA". It matches the Rfam family "Bacterial small subunit ribosomal RNA", at positions 125 to 750 of the family's 1533-position model. The record is from RNAcentral. Lineage: Bacteria; Bacillati; Bacillota; Bacilli; Caryophanales.
CCUGCCUGUAAGACUGGGAUAACUCCGGGAAACCGGGGCUAAURCCGGAUAACCCUUCGGACCUCAUGGUCCGGAGCUGAAAGACGGUUAUGCUGUCACUUACAGAUGGGCCCSCGGCGCAUUAGCUAGUUGGUGAGGUAACGGCUCACCAAGGCRACGAUGCGUAGCCGACCUGAGAGGGUGAUCGGCCACACUGGGACUGAGACACGGCCCAGACUCCUACGGGAGGCAGCAGUAGGGAAUCUUCCGCAAUGGACGAAAGUCUGACGGAGCAACGCCGCGUGAGUGAAGAAGGUUUUCGGAUCGUAAAACUCUGUUGUUAGGGAAGAACAAGUACGAGAGUAACUGCUCGUACCUUGACGGUACCUAACCAGAAAGCCACGGCUAACUACGUGCCAGCAGCCGCGGUAAUACGUAGGUGGCAAGCGUUGUCCGGAAUUAUUGGGCGUAAAGCGCGCGCAGGCGGUCUUUUAAGUCUGAUGUGAAAGCCCCCGGCUCAACCGGGGAGGGUCAUUGGAAACUGGAGGACUUGAGUGCAGAAGAGGAGAGCGGAAUUCCACGUGUAGCGGUGAAAUGCGUAGAGAUGUGGAGGAACACCAGUGGCGAAGGCGGCUCUCUGGUCUGUAACUGACGCUGAG